Molecule: ribosomal RNA, 498 nt
Filed under: uncultured bacterium
Lineage: Bacteria
Description: partial 16S ribosomal RNA
Rfam family: Bacterial small subunit ribosomal RNA
Source: RNAcentral
AUUGAACGCUGGCGGCAUGCUUUACACAUGCAAGUCGAACGGUAACAGGCCGCAAGGUGCUGACGAGUGGCGAACGGGUGAGUAAUGUAUCGGAACGUGCCCAGUCGUGGGGGAUAACGCAGCGAAAGCUGCGCUAAUACCGCAUACGAUCUAUGGAUGAAAGCGGGGGACCGUAAGGCCUCGCGCGAUUGGAGCGGCCGACAUCAGAUUAGGUAGUUGGUGGGGUAAAGGCUCACCAAGCCAACGAUCUGUAGCUGGUCUGAGAGGACGACCAGCCACACGGGGACGGAGACACGGACCGGACUCCUACGGGAGGCAGCAGUGGGGAAUUUUGGACAAUGGGCGCAAGCCUGAUCCAUCAAUGCCGCGUGCAGGAAGAAGGCCUUCGGGUUGUAAACUGCUGUUGUACGGAACGAAACGGUCUGGGUUAAUACCUCGGGCUAAUGACGGUACCGUAAGAAUAAGCACCGGCUAACUACGUGCCAGCAGCCGCCGCCG